This 457-nucleotide small RNA is filed under the name Arabidopsis thaliana (thale cress). RNAcentral's name for it is "ATSL257340". The record is from RNAcentral. Lineage: Eukaryota; Viridiplantae; Streptophyta; Magnoliopsida; Brassicales; Brassicaceae.
UUUGGUUUAAAUCAGUAAGUUAAAUUUUUAUAAACUUUUUACGUUUAAAUUUUUUUAUCAAACAAACGAUGCACUUAUUGUAAAACCGCUACUUUUUUUAUCUUUUAUUAUAAUUUAACACUAUAUUCGGAAAAAAUGGGCCUAACGAGAUUAACUAGACUCAUUCGGUCUUCAGCCCGACAUGACCCACCACUAAUCCUAGUUGUUGUCUCUUAUAAACGCCACAUUCCUUAAAGCCAAAUAAAAAUGAUGAGUUAUGAAAGGUAAAUUUGGACUUACCAAUCAUCAUUUUAGAGUGGACAUAGAUCAUGAACCGACGAGAUUCUUGAGCUCUUGCGUAAUCAGAAUUAGCCUCCGGUUUUUCCGGAGGCAAGUAUUCACCCACCUUGCCCUUUUCCCGGUUCCCGAGGCAGAAAAACGUUAGGUAGUCUCUAGGGUUUGCAUCUAAACCUUUUUU